GAAAGGCUGCGCGGAUGCGCAGCUGGAGGGCAGAGGAUAUUGACCCGAUAUCCGCAGCCGUCCCAGUUAGG
This 71-nucleotide non-coding RNA is filed under the name unclassified sequences. RNAcentral describes it as "S4-Clostridia ribosomal protein leader". It matches the Rfam family "S4-Clostridia ribosomal protein leader". The record is from RNAcentral.